CAGUAGCCACGGUAAUACGGAGGGGGCUAGCGUUGUUCGGAAUUACUGGGCGUAAAGCGCACGUAGGCUGCUUUGUAAAUCAGAGGUGAAAGCCCGGGGCUCAACCCCGGAUGUGCCUUUGAGACUGCAGGGCUAGAACGUCGGAGAGGUGAGUGGAAUUCCGAGUGUAGAGGUGAAAUUCGUAGAUAUUCGGAAGAACACCAGUGGCGAAGGCGGCUCACUGGACGACUGUUGACGCUGAGGUGCGAAAGCGUGGGGAGCAAACAGGAUUAGAUACCCGCGUAGUCCCUGUCUCUUAUAC
This 301-nucleotide ribosomal RNA is filed under the name uncultured bacterium. Its description in RNAcentral is "partial 16S ribosomal RNA". It matches the Rfam family "Bacterial small subunit ribosomal RNA", at positions 509 to 807 of the family's 1533-position model. The record is from RNAcentral.